This 393-nucleotide ribosomal RNA is filed under the name uncultured bacterium. RNAcentral's name for it is "partial 16S ribosomal RNA". It matches the Rfam family "Bacterial small subunit ribosomal RNA", at positions 523 to 918 of the family's 1533-position model. The record is from RNAcentral.
AUACGGAGGAUGCAAGCGUUAUCCGGAUUUAUUGGGUUUAAAGGGUGCGUAGGCGGUUUGCUAAGCGGGAGGUGAAAUGCCGGCGCUCAACGUCGGAAGUGCCUCCCGAACUGGUGGACUGGAAUGACUCUGCCGUGGGAGGAAUGUGUAGUGUAGCGGUGAAAUGCUUAGAGAUUACACAGAACACCGAUUGCGAAGGCAUCACACGAAGAGUUGAUUGACGCGGAGGCACGAAAGCGUGGAGAUCUAACAGGAAUAGAUACCCUGGUAGUCCACGCAGUAAAGGAUGAUGGCUAACCGCUGGUUUUUGCGGAUCAGUGGCCAAGCGAAAGCGAUAAGCCAUCCACCUGGGGAGUACGGCCGCAAGGUUGAAACUCAAAUGAAUGUACGGGG